Molecule: long non-coding RNA, 450 nt
Organism: Topomyia yanbarensis
Lineage: Eukaryota; Metazoa; Arthropoda; Insecta; Diptera; Culicidae
Exons: 4
Source: RefSeq, a predicted model, not a curated record
CCGGAAUCUUCUUUGACAUAAAUCACGAGUGGCAAGUUUAAAGACCCGCAGAACGAAGUGGCGCGUACGUGACAGGAGUGUCGGACACGGAAUUCACGUCGACGAUAGGCAAAUCGAACGAUAUAGAUUUUCCCGGUCGAUCAGCAGACAUUUCGGAGGGAAUCCGCGGUACGGAACCCACGAGGCCGUUGCAAACUAAUCGAACAGAAGAAAAACCCAACCUCACCACGGAACACGUGUCGGGCGUACAGGAGAAGGUUGAAAAAGGACCUGAAAGAAGAUUUGAAACCCGUACAUACUGCAAGAACCAUACAUCUGACAAAGCGCCCCGAAGAUAAGGGGCGUUUUUUCUUUGUUCGGUUCUUUCACCUGUCGUGAGCUGAUCGACGCGGAUUGAUCGUCACGUUAUUAUAGCUUUCCACUUCCGAAGGACGAGUCGACCGAUCGCAC